CAUUACAAAUAAAAAUUUACUAUUAUUAUUAUUAUUAUUAUUAUUAUUAUUGUUAGCCAUAUUCGCAGUUAUGAUGCUCUUAUUCUGAAAACUGGUUCCGGUUGUGUUGUUGUUCCGGGAGAACAAACAGCAGCGGAGGACUCGCAGUUCAUCACAUCUCUGUACAGACGAAGAUGACACUGAUCUUCCUCCUUAUUUUCUGAAUUCAGCGGACAAACUCAGAAAACAUCCCAGAAGAAGCUUCAUCCUUUUCCAUCCAGCUCCUGUUCUUAACUCCACCGUCCGUCUGUCAUCUUCAGAGGAGACGUUCUUGCUCCCUGAACCUCCAUCAUGACUGAGCUGUCGGACUUUGAGCGAGGCCAGAUAGUCGGAGCUCAGAUCUCUGGUCUGUCCGUCAGGAAAACCGCCCAGCUGUGUGACGUGUCGAGCCGGACCGUGGUGAAGGUCAUGAACGCUUACAACAAACACGGAUUCACUGCAACGGCUCAGAAGAACAAGAAGCAGGAGCCACAAGCAAAGAGGAAAGACUGAAGAAUGCGAGAGAAGCUGCCAGCGAUAAGCCGGCAUGUGAAGAACAGAAAGAAACACGUGAAUCCCAGAUCACAGAGCAGCAGUAGUUAGCUGGGAUGGUCUGCUUUUAACACAGGAUGCCUUCAUUCAGCCCUCAUGUUUUAGCUUUAAUCGCUGUUAAAAAGGUUGAAAAGGAUCUCUUCUAACAGCUGAGGACAUCUCCAUGGUUUUCUAAAGCUUUCUAUAAUGUGUUUGCUGAUUCAGUGAUUUUAUUUCCAGUUAAACCAGUGGAACGUUGGAAAAGUAGCAUGAAACUGGGUUUUAGUGCCGCCCAGAGACAUUUCAACCAGCUCCAAUGGAACUCAUCGACCACGAAAAUUAUGAGAAUUAAAAAUGCAAUUCAGUUUUCUAAACCACUAAUUAAUUCAGUGAGGCAUCAGAGAGGCCAAUUUUUGUUUAGCAAAUGGUCCAGAAAUGACAGAAAAAUGCUUCAUUUUUUGGACUUACUGUGCCCCAUCAGGAUUAUUUCCAUCCCAAAGCUUCAUUCUGAGCCCUGAUGAUGGCAGAUUUUUCUUUAGCUUCACCUUUACAGCGUGCAGAUACAAUAAAAACUAUUAAUCCUGUCAUUUUAUCAGUUAAUACAGUAAUAGUAAGAGUGAAAAUCAAACAAGCGGUCAGUUUUUCCUCCCAUAAAGCAGCGUUUUUCAGCUCCUGUCUGCAUACUGCUGCUGUUCCACUGAGCUCCAUGUUCCAGGAUCCAUCUCUGAAUAAAUGUGGACUUUUUGUUUGGAAAAAGACGUAAAGACAAUGUGAGACAGUGAACCUGUUACAGUCUUAAAUGUGCUGUAUUUCUUAUUUUUAUUCUGUGGAGCAGUAUUUACUCAUGCAUCUGUUUGGACCAGAGGAGAAAAUAAAUGUGUGACCUCA
Molecule: long non-coding RNA, 1437 nt
Organism: Acanthochromis polyacanthus (spiny chromis)
Lineage: Eukaryota; Metazoa; Chordata; Actinopteri; Pomacentridae
Exons: 2
Source: RefSeq, a predicted model, not a curated record